RNAcentral lists this small nuclear RNA (21 nucleotides) under Arabidopsis thaliana (thale cress). RNAcentral describes it as "snRNA_14324". Lineage: Eukaryota; Viridiplantae; Streptophyta; Magnoliopsida; Brassicales; Brassicaceae. The record is from RNAcentral.
UAGGUAACAACAUUUGGUCUA